This 20191-nucleotide long non-coding RNA is filed under the name Mytilus galloprovincialis (Mediterranean mussel). The record is from RNAcentral. Lineage: Eukaryota; Metazoa; Mollusca; Bivalvia; Mytilida; Mytilidae.
GCAAUGUAUACUUCUAUAGUUAUUGACUUUAUUGCUUGACACAAAUAAAUGAACUUUAAGCAUAUUAUUUAAUGUGUUAAUUAAGGAUUAAACAUUUUUUUGUGAUUUGAUUAAAAGCAAAGAACUUCAUAAUAGGUAAGUGAUAUCGUACACAAUGUGAUAGAUUGUAUAAUUUGUUUAUAUAUAAUGGUUUAAGUUAAAAGUGACUUAUUUAUUCGUGUAUUAUUGUGCAUUAUGAUUUUCAGAAAGUUUAAAAAGAUACAAUUAAGGGUACGCAAGGACAGGCGAAUAAAAAUUCAAUUGAAUCUUCUUAUGUAGGAAUCUUUUCGCUAUUUUAUACAAGGAACUUAGUAAAUAAUUUCUUCUGCGAUGUGAUUUUAUCCCUAUUAAUAACUUUAUAAAAUAAAUGUACAAAAUAUAUCAAAACAAAUAACCUUUAUUUGAAGAAAGUAAUCCGAGGUCUCAUUUAACUCACAACAGUUCAUGUAUACUUAUAUGUAGAUCAAGCAGGUUGGAAACAUUAUUGAAAAAGAAAGGUAUCAGAAUUACUGUAAUUAUUUCAUAUUAAGUUUUCUGUUACAUAGGUUAAGGUAUAAAGAACGUCAUAGAUUAUGCGCCAUAUGUGUUAAUUAUGAUUGAAAAUAACCAAAGUGAGACUCAUUUUGAUGAUAAUAUAUACUUAAAAAACUGAGUUUUUAAAUUUAAACUUUUUAUCUAAUAUUAGAAGGGAUAAAAUCACGACGCUUUUCAUGAUUCAAUAUAAAAAUAUCCAAAAGAUCAAUAGUUUAUGCUUUAAAUUUAAAAAAAUAUUUUUUUAGGAAUUAAGAAAUUCUUGUAUAUAAAACAAAUAUUUUGUGUAGGUAUAAUUCAUUUUAAAAUCGGUUACCGAGUAGCAGUUUUAUGUGGGCUGGAGGAGGUCAGUUAUGCCAAAUGUCAUUGUGCGUUUGCAUCCAGUCUAUAUUGGUAAUGAAUAAAAUGAAGCAAUGUCUAUCCCAGUUCACCUUUGCCACAGUCGCGAUGAUAUUCCCCGAAUGAACAAACAAAAAAACUUCAUUAUAUUUGAAUGAAAAAAAAAAAAAAAAAUGAAAAUGCACAAAUUCAUUAGUUAGAUGUCGCAGUUUAAACGGUGUCCUUUAUACAAUAUGUCCUCGUAUUUUUUCAUGAGCCAUGACGUGGGCAGUAUCUAAUAAUAUGAUGAAACGGAUUACAUCUUUGAUGAUAGUACAGCUUCUUAUCCGAUUUGACGUUUAGCAACCGACAAUCUAUUAUUCUUAUACAAUUUUUACUUUACUCGACUGGUUGAUUUAUUAACUAUCUUAUCCAUCAGUUCUUCAUUGGUCAAAUUCAGUUAUAACAUCAAAUGUUCUGGUUUGUUGUAAAAGGGACUUCGUGAAAAAAUGGCGACCUUGUCUGAUAAUGACGAAGAAGAGAACAAGAAAAAAAACUUGUCUCUUCUGUGUCAUCCACAAUUUAUUGUUUUAAUGGACGAAUAUGUUUUUUUAAUGAAUUCCAUGUAGAUAGUUCUUUCAUUAUAGAUCAUUUGUUGAAGGAUUGUUUAUUUAAUUAUGUUCUGGUAAAUUGAUGUUUAUCUCAAUGACAAUACAAAGUAUAGUCAAUUUGGUAGAGGCUUCUUUACCUUAAGUUAUUGUCCAGUUCGCGAAUGUUUUUAUUUCAUCAUAUAAAAAAGAGAUAUAUGUUUAUUCCAGGACAACGCAUUGUAGAGCAAUUAUUAUUUCGUUGCAGUAUAUUCAAUAAAUGGUUGUUUGCGUUCUGAAACUUACUUUUGGUCCAUUGUGACGGGCUGUUUAUAUUAAUGUAGUUUGAUGAUUGGUUUUAUGUCAUUAUAGUCUACUUUUUGAAUGUCCGUUUAUUUAAGUAAGGAUUCAUAUUCUAAAUAUUUAGUGCAUACUAUAAUGUAUCUUGCAAUGUAUCUUUCAUAAACCAUUUGAAGUACUUACAAGAAAGGACCGAUUGUUUUGUGCAUUAACUGAAUGUUACGAAAGAGAAUGACUCUUACUCGACAUAAAUUGUUGUUAUCCCUAAGCAAAAUUAACAAAAUGAAAUACGUUCAUUUGCAUUUACAAUCAUUUCCAUCAUCACUUCAGAAUAAAGUUGUAUUUAAGAUACAUAAAGGAAGAAUUUAUGAGUAUGAACUGCAUGUAAUUGAGACAACAGCAUUACAUAAAGGUGAUUGAAAACAUAUUUUUAAAUUAAGGAUAUGUUGUAUGAAUGCCAAUGAGACAAUUAUACAACAGUAAUAUACAUACAUAUAUAUUAUUUUCUGUGACUGUAUCUUGCAUUAAUUUGUAGAAUCCUUACUAUAGAAUGAGCUGAUCGUAACAAUAACAUCUCCAUGCCUUAUAUAUCAUUGUACUUAUACGACGCUAGAUUAAAACUGACGAGGAAAGGUAAACACGGCCACCGAAAGCAUUAUUAUUGUGAAGCCCAGGUGGUCGUGUGGAUUUGGUGUCACGAUAUCUCAGUUGCAUGGGUUCGGAUCCCGGCGAGGGAAGAACAAAAAAAAUUGCGAAAGCAAAUUAACAGAUCAAAAGUACAAAACAGUCAUACAAUUUCCAGGAUAAGAUCACAAAUUCCAAAUACGUAGUGUAUCAUAGCUUCACACGUUUGUGCUGAAUAAAACAUAUUUCGUUCAUUAACGAACAACAACCAGAACAGACUACUUACAUCAGUAAUUUAAUCAAUUUUUAGUUCCAUAUAUGAACUUAUUGACCUUUUUAUUAUAGAAUUGGAAAUUUAAAGAUGUUAAAAGUCUCAUCGCGCAAUCAUCAAUAAAACUGCUUUCUAAACUAAUUCUUGAUGAUGACGUCUUCCUUAACAAUAUUAGACUUAACAUUUUUUCCACUGGUUGGUUCCGAUAAAAAAUGUCUAUACCGUUUCUACAAGUGUCUUGAGAAAGAACACAAAGACCUUUUCAAGGAAAUGGUUCUGUAAUCAAGUCUUCUGAGACAUACAUUUGUUUGCUAAAGCGCGGUAAACUAAUCCCCGCUAAGCAACGUUAAACUAAUUCCCGCCAAAACUAAUUCUUACCGAGCAACGUUGAAUUAUCUCAACAUUCCUACAUUCAAAUUAACUUCUAAAUUCGAUAUAAGCCUUAAUAAGCUUGUUGUUUGAUUACAGUUUAGACUAUUGAUUUCAUCACUGUAUAUGUUGAUGAUUUGUACUUACUAAAGUGCUCAUGUUUUAUUUCGCUAAUCACCUGUCAUAAUAUAGUGUUCAUGUUUGAUUCCAACACUUUAAUCGUUGUUAAUACUGGUCAAUAAAUCUAGAAAAUGUAUUGUCAAUGCAUGUUAGAAUCUUCAAUACAUCUGAUAACCCGUCGUGAUGAAAUGAAAAAGUUCGAUAGCAUCAAUUCUUCUUGCAGCUAGCAAGAUUCGACAAACUAGAUAAUCCGUUUUCCAACAUCGAUGAAAUUUAUAUAAUUUAGUCCAAAUAGAGUUGAGUUAACAUCAUAGGGGAAAAACCAAACCCACCAACCAAGCAUUUUAUCUGUCCUUCAAAUAGUCAAUGAUUUAUAAAAGAACAAGUAUUAAAAAUGGAUAAAAUUGACAGAAAAGUCACAAACACUUUAAAGAUAAAAAGUAGAGACAAAUUCGAUAUUAACAAAAAUUUAUUAUCAAAUCAGAACAACAGGGAGAAAUGGAGUUAGAGGGUAUCUUUUGUUUCACAUAUACCUCAGAAUCAUUACUUUUAUAAAUCUUCCUGCUUCAAUUAUCAAUUAUCUAAGAUUACGAUAGUUUGUACAUCAAUGAUUUAAGAUAACGAUAGUAAAUAGCGACUUAUACCUUUGUUAACUAAUUAUAUAUAUAAAUGGUAUUGGAAUAUAACAAUAUAUUUAGUUCGAACCUGUUGUAUGACACCUAGCACACUCUUCUGACAUGGCGAAAAUCACAAAUGCUUCUUUGGUACUUACUUUGUGCUAAUCUUAGCGAUUACCUUAACCGUAUUUGGCCCAACUUUUAGGAAUUUGGGUCCUCAAUGCUCUUCAAUUUUGUACUUUUUGUUUGGCUUUCUAACUUUUUUGAUCUGAACGUCACUGAUAUGUAGAGGAAACGGGCGUCUGGCGUAUUUAAUUAUAAUUCUGGUACCUUUUUUGCACACAUAAACUACUUUUAGUGAUUUUUUAUUUUGUCAGAAAAUGCUGAAUGAAAUUAUUGAAUCAGAUUGAUCAUUAUUUUGUUUUUUGACAAAUUUUGUAUCUAUUUAAAAUGUCACACAACUAGGUUAAUCUAAAGCAUAGACGGUAGUUUUUCCAAAGCGUUUCAUUGCAAUUAAUUUUACCACAUAAAAUAUGACAUUUUGCCAAGGUUAUGGUGCUGAGGGAAGGACUAAUUGAAAGACGUGAAAAAUAAUACAUCUUCACAAAUCAGUAUAAUGAAUCACCUAUCAAAGACAUUUUCAUAGAAGAUGAACAUAAUCAUAUUCAUAUGGCAAUGCUACUCAAAUGGUGUAAUUUAUAACCAGAAAAACUGUACAACCCUUUAUACAACCAUUUUUUCUCAUCAUGACAUCAGUCUAUAUAAAAAUACUUUUUCUUAAACCGAUUAGAUAUGAUAAUAUUCAAAAGUCAAUUGGCAUUAUAAAAGACUAGACGUACCAUACAUACACUGCAAAAGAGAGGCGAAAGAUGUCAGAAGGAAAUUCACACUCAAAAGUCUAAAAUAAACUACAUGUAAUAACGCCAUGGCAAAAAAAAAAAGAAGAAAAGACCAAUAGAAAAAAAAAAUAAAAGAAUGAGCAACAUAAACCACACAAAAAGCUAGAGGUGAUCUCAAGUGCUACGGAGGGGUAAGCAGAUGCCUACAUGUGGCACCCGCCGUGAUAACUAGAGAUAAAGAUGUUGUAAGAUGAAAUCAAUCCAUAUCACUAGAUCUUAGAAAUAUAACUUAAUAUAGAUUAAAUAGCAAGGUGAAAUAAAACUUGAUAACUUAAAUAUAGAUUAAAUAGCAAGGUGAAAACGGACUUCCUUUAUCAAAACCACUGUUGAUAUUAAACCAUUUUGAUAGAAUGUCCAUUUAGAUUUUAUGAACAUAGUGCAUUGCAUCAAUAGAUUUCAUAACCGCAUACAACCUUCUGCCGCACCGAUCAUGUUUAGCAUUAUCCACAACAUGUUUCAGUCAUGACAUCAUUAACCCUUUAAAAAAUAAAUAAUAGCUCAAAAAGAAGAUUUGCAGAGCCGUUUCUAACAUCAGUUAUAUUUGUGAUUGUAGUUAAUUGAUCUGUUGUACCUCGAUAUUGACUAGAACCAUACUGCUUGUCUGCAAACCGGUUAUUGUCAUCCAUCAUUUGUCAACCUCUCAUAUAGAAUAUUACAAUCAAGCUUGUAUGCGACCUAGUAUAAUGCAAUGCCUCUGUUAAACAAAGAAACAGACGUGCCUGCCAUGUUGCCUUAAAUUUGUGAUUUCUAAUAAUCUUGGUUUAUGCAAACAAAACGGACACCGUCAAUUUAAAAUUUACAAGCGUACAAUUUGUAGAAAUGUGAAUCUGCGUUUCAAAAACCCUAGUUAAAUUUAAUUGAUUCAAAGCAUAUUCCGCCUCCGUUUAAUAUCUUAGUUAUCUGUUAGUUUAGGAAUAACUUUUUCAUAUUGGGCCAUUAUGCAUAAUAAUUCGCCUUUUCAGAAUUUAAAAGACUAUGGGUAAUCUCAUUGUUUGUACACCAAAAUGAAAACAAGGUCACGUCAGUGAUUUAAUUUCUAUUGUUUAUCACGUUUUGAACCAAUCACAACGCUUUUCGAAAUAUUACCCAGAAUGCAUUAGAUUCUGAAUAGGUGAAUUACUGACUCACGAUCUGCCGUUAACCAUUGUUUUGUAAAGAUUUUGGACUGCGUAACUUAUGUUGUACAGUUUCUUUUUUCAUACCGUGUAUUUGCAUUGAAAAUUCCAACUUAUAAUAUCUCUAGAUAUUACUAAUAGACUAAUGGUUAAAAUGUAUUUGUUGUAAUGCUUGAUUCGAAUGGUCGCAAAGAUGUAGUAUUGCAGGUUUCGUUUCACCGAUUUAUUGGAUUAUCAUUAUAAAAGCCAAUCGGUUAAAAAAAAAUUUUUUUUCAUAUAUGUAUACGUAGUAAUUAUUACUGCAUGGUUGCAAUAGGUGAGCGAUUUUUUUUUUUUGGGUUUACUGUUUGGGUCCCUUUUUUUAUUUUAUCAAAAAGCUCAUAAAGUUUAUGCCAUGAAGAGGGGGAUAUACUAGAGAAUAGGAAUAAAACAGUAAAAAGGACAGAUAUAACGACAAGGAAAAGACAAACAAUAGUUUAUAAAACACCAUACAGAAAAAUUGAUCUGAAAAAUAAAAAUUAACACAGGUACCUAGACAUAAAAAUAUAAUUAUGUUUUCAUUUCAAUUAGAGAAGACAUGUUUUUAAGGAAAGAUAAUGGGUUUGAAAUAUAAUACAAAUGUCAGGCUGAACGAUCUAAUUAUUUUAUUCCUUCCUGUAAGUCUGCAUACUUCAGAAGUCCAAAAGAUAAUUAAGCAUCUGUACGCCUAGAAAUCAAAUUAAUAAGUUCUCUGUAGGAAAACGGAUAACGUGAGAAAAACAUUGCUGUCAAAUUAUGUUGUCAAAGAGAAACUUAUAUGUACUAACAGCCUAUUAUUGACAUUAACAUGCUCAUUUUGUGUUCAAUAUUAUGUUUAGGAAAUCAUUCAAAUUUUACCUACAUAGCUGUAAAGCAAAACACAAACACACUCCACAUUGAUUACAUGAAGGAUGACGGAAUAAAUAUUAAUGCGUUAUGAAUAAUGCGUUAUACAAUAUAUUUAUUUUUAUUUCAUAUUAUUAUGUUUUUAACUAUUUAAAUGUGUUUAUCUUAUUUCAAUUAUUUCCAUUUGAGCCUCACUGAAGACUCUUUUGUAGUAAGAAUGUGAGUCCGACAAGUAAAUUAUAAGACCAGUAUCUAUUAUGAGCUUAUUUACAAGCACUGAGUCGAUGCCACUGCAGGUGGAGUUUUUAAUUCCCCGCGGGUAUCACCAGCCCAGUAGCCAGCACGUAUGUGCUGACAGGAAUUGUCAUUGAUAUGGUCAUAUUUAUAAAUUAACUGUUUAGAACACUUUUGAAAUUUUGAAAAACUAAGGCUUUUCUACUUCAGGAAUAGAUUACCUUAGCUGUAUUUAGCAAAACGUUUUGGAAUUUGGUCCUCAAUGCUCUUUAACUUCGUAUUUAUUUAGCCUUUAUAAUAAUUUGGAAUUCGUCACUGAUGAGUCUUUUGUAGACGAAACGCGCGUCUGGCGUAGUGACAAAAUGUAAUCCUGUAUCUAUGAUGAGUUUAUUUUCCUCCUCUGAGUAUCACCAGCUCAGUAGGCAGCUUCGGUGUUGACAUGGAUUGUUAAUAAUAUGAUAAUAAUUGUGAAUUGCCUGUCAACAAAACUUUUGAGGAUUUUCUACCACAGGAAUAGAUAACCUUAGCUGUAUUUGUUAAAACCUUUCGCCUUAUAUAGUCAUUUAGCUGUUCAACUUCAUGCUUCAAAUAGCUUUAUAAUAUUGUUAAUUUGAGAGUCACUGAUGACUCGAGUCUGGCAAACAAAUAAUAAGCCUAGUUUCUAUAAUGAGUUUAAUUACAACCAUUGGGUCAAUGCCACUGCUGUUGGAGGUUUUCCUUAUCAGGGUAUUACCAGUAGGCAGCAUUUAUGUGCUGUCAUAGUUAAAAAUUAUCUGUUUACAAAACUAACAUAAAACAAAGUAUUUUCUACCCCAGGAAUGGAUUACCCUAGCUGUAUACAAUGUUAUGCAAAGUAUCAUAUUGUAUUGAAAUACCCUCUGAUAGUAUCGAACAAUGACAUGUUCCAGUGGCAACGUGCUGUUAAAUAUCGCUCAAUAUUUAUGUUGAUGUCCAUUUGAAGUCUACAGAUACAAUCUUAAUGGCUUCCAUCAAUAAUUCUCAUGGUCAUUCAGAUGACUUUCUACAUGGUAAAGCACGAAUGAUAUGCCAUCGGUGUAUAAUAGUCGUAUAUAAAAGAAGAAAGUGUAUUUAAAUUGAUUUAUGUAAGUCAAUUAGAUAAACACAUUGAUUUGUAAUAAUUAUGCUUAUUGUAUUAACCAUUUAUAUAAAUGUAAACUUUGAGUAACUUUCCACUUUAAUUGACACUUUUUUUAAUUUGAUUGCCAUGUCCAUGGAUCAUUACAUCUUAGACAAAAGAUAAAAAAAAAUAAUUACUGAUAUUGUUAUAACUAAUUCAAAUUUCAAUGAGAAAUGCAACAAAAAUAUGAAAAACUUAAAUUAUCAAAUAUUUUCUGUGUUUUGAUAGUUUUUGAAAACAAUGCAUAAUUUCGAUUGUUUGAACUCUUAGAAUAUCAAUAUUGCUUUCUCUGUCAUUAAUUAUCACAAUUUAUUUGAUUGGAGCGCCCAAGAUAUAUCUUAAUUGCGAUUUGUUUUUUUUCUACUUCAAUUUUAUUUCUUAAUCGAGUAUGAGUUUUCAACAUCUGUAAACUACUGUUUAAACAUAAACGAAACGAGCGACUAACGUACUAAAUAAUAAGCUUAGUAUAUUUGAUGAGUUUUAAAUCUAAAUUUUCUGUCAAUCACCUUUUAAUUCCAAUCAGUGGGAAACCAAAACCUUAUUAUAGGAUUUUACAAAGAAAUCAUUUUCACUAAAAAAUAUAUGACUUUUAGUGAUAACAGCCCUUAAAUUGAUCUCGCUAAAUGUGAUUUUUAUUAUCUUCUGGUUUGUUGUUUUGAAGUUGUGGAAAGUGAAAUUUUCUCUGAUUUUAAAAUAAUGGCGUCUUACCUUUCGUUCGUUUAUGACACAUCAGUAAAUUUAAUCAUUGCUGUUUCGUUAUAGUCUUGCCACCUAGUGGUUCUACUUUUUACUACCUAUAUGUUGCCUUCCCACAUUUUUCAUGAUUGUGUUGCCUCUAACAGGCUGACUAAGUUUUUUCGUUUAUAAAUUGUUUUUGUUGAUGAAAUCCUGAUAUUGACUUUUCGCCAAUUUAUGUUUGAUUGAGGUCAUGUCACGUAGAUGUUCCGGGAUUAUAUUCGACGUUUCUUUAAUAACCGAGGAGGCCAUACGAUAAAACACCCCGUAAGGGCAAACAGGGUAAAUCUAUUCAAACCUUCCAAAAUUAUGUUUAUUUUAUUGAUAAAUGAACAGGUUAAUGUGAUCUGGAAAAUAAAGUGCAGAAAUGUCAUAAACAAGUUGAAAUUUACUCAUGUGACCUAAACUGAGCAAUUUACACAUAGUAUUUGAACAAAUAGAUAUAACCAACAGCCUCAUCCAAAAGAUAGAUUACCAACAUUAACAAGUAUGUAAAAUACAUCUGUUAGUAAAGUCUCUCUUUCGGGUUACGCUUUUUUAUUCAUAUCUAACUAUUGAUAACAAGAUUUUAAAGAAGCUUUUUUGGCGGUUUAUAUAGUUUUGCACUAAAUUCUAACACUUGUAUGUUCCAAAGCAAAUAUGCAAUACAUUCAGAAUUCAAAAAUGUAAGUACGAAGAAUGUCUUAUGGACAUCUUACGGAUAAUAUUUGAUAUAUUUAUGAUACUUUUUGAUUUUCAAAUUCAUGGGAUCAAUAAAGCGACCAUUUCGUACCUUCUUCUAUCGUUUUUUUUUAAUAUAUUUUCUACUUCCACCCAGUAGUUGUUCUCUUUUCCUUCUUAGUAUCGCUAAUUUUCGUGACGAUUUUGAAGAACAAAUAGUUUUAUCUAUAAGGACAUGAAAUGCAUUGCUGUUCGUUUUUAUUAGAAUCGAGUAUGUAGAUUAAAGCGCAUGAAAUAUACCAGGCUUAUGAUGUUGUACGCCAAACAUGCGUUUCUUGUACAAGACUUUUUUCACUGACGCUAAACAAUAACCCGUUAAAGGGCAAAUAUCAAGUUCGGAGUUAAAGAGAAUUGAGGACCCACAAAUUCUGAAAGUUUUUGCCAAAUACAGCUAAGCUAAUUUAUUCCUUGGAUAUUACCAAAUUAAUAGCUAAACAUUUUGAUAAACCACCCAUAGUGUAUUUGCUUUAUCAGUGGUGCUGUACGUGAUGAACUGAUGUGUGUUUACUAGGAACUUGAAAACUCAUGUGCUCUGGAAGGGUAAGCAGUUUCUGCUUAAUUAGUGAGAACGAAAUGAUAUAUGGUUUAUUCUGUGUCAUUUGAUAGUUUGCGCAGAGUUGUCUAGCUAGCAAUCAUACUACAUCUUUUGUUAUGGGGUAUACCAUCUUCGCUAGCCAAGAGUUACGAUUCACUCAUCAGGGGAGGGGAGUGGGUCGUAACACUUGGCUAGAGAUGAUGGGGGUAUACAUGAAUUUUCAUUUUGAUGUUUAAAAAGAUACCACUUCCAGAUUUAUGAGAUUAAUCUAUUAUAUUUAUAUACUAGUACUUAAUUAACAACAAAUGAAACUCAUCACCUCCGAUGAUUUCUUUUAAAUCAAAAUUGGUGUUGCAUGUUUACAAAAUAAUUGAUUGUAACGAGUUAAUAUUUUUGACACAACUGAUGUAAUAAUACCAUCAUCUAUUGAUUGAUUGCUUUACGCCGCAAAAGCACUACAAACAUCUAUAAUUAUUAAAAAAAAAUCCGAGUUUUAAUUUUUGAAAUCUAAAAAAAAUCCCACACCUUCGAUUUUAAAUAUAGUUUUUUACAAGUUCAUGAAAAGUAAAGUCGUGUGUAUCUUUUAACAUCUCAUAACAACAAUACAGACAGAAAUUUAAUAUUUCUUAACCAAAUUCUCGAUUUCAGAUUAAUUUUGAUUUUUGACUUUGAUUUUUGAAAUUUCCCUUGUUGCAACUAAAAUAUAAACGUCCUUGUAAAUUCAGAAUUAGUUUAAAGGUUAUGGUUAAAAUACAAUAAAUUUCGACCAAUUUGUAGCAGAAACUAGAAACUGUGUCACUUUAUUAUACGUUAAUUUGUGUUGCGUUAUUUGUGUUGUUAAGUACAUAUGGUACAAUGUUAAAACGUUUACUAGAAUUUUAACAGUGCAAUAACAUAAAUAUUUCGUUUUUUUUUAUUUGAAUUAUAAGUUUUCACGAACACGGUGCUUAAUUAAGGCUAAACACGUUAUUUCCAUGCUUUUUGAGGCAUUUCAUAAAAAUAAUCACCAGGUUUUUCCCAUAAACAUAAAGAACUCCGCAUGUACCUUUUGUUAGCGUUUUCUUCUUUCAAACUGAUUAAACUUAAGGAAAAAAAUACCUUGGAGAUUAAUAUUACACUUUACAAGUUCAAUGUGGCAACAAAUUGGCAAAUUCUAUAGAAACUGAAAUAUGAUCAAUUUGUUUAAUCAGUUAUAUGCUUGGUUAGGCAUUGUUAUUGACAUAGUGAAAAUAACCAUAACUUUAUGGAUAUUACUUUAUCAAGGGCAUAAAGGCCAGAGAAGCCAAUUAAUCGUUAUUUGUUGCCACAUUUAUGGAAACUUACCACCAUACAAUAACUGUAAUCACGAAAUUAGACAAUGCUGUGAAACUUCUUUGUUUUCUUUUAUGUAGAUAUUUCGCACAUUGUAAUUAAUAUUAUUACAAAGAAUUGAUAUUAAUGAUCAAACUGAUCUUGAAUAAUUUAUUGUUUAAUCAUUUAUGUUUGUUAUGACAGUUUUACAAACAAUAUAUAGAAGAAUUAUGCAACAUUAUAAAAUCGGGUUUUAUGCGAUUUAGUGAUUUAUUUGCGUUAUUUUCUAAUGAAUAUUUCCUUUAAUAUUUAUCUAAAUAAGCCUUUCACUUUGAUAUCAUACUUAACGUUUGCUAAACAUUAUUUGAGUAUAUAUUGUUGGCUUAAAAACUUAAAAAGUUAAAACUAUUUAUCCCGAAUGGUCGUUUGAUCAUAUAAUUGUACCGCAUAGAUUGACUUUAAACUCACUAAAUAAAGAUAAAUCCGGUAAAAAGGUCAAGAAAGGCUUACUUAACUACAAUUUGUGAGAAUAAUUAACAAAAUUUACCGUUUGGUUAAAAAAAAUAAUGAAAUGAAUACUGAGUACAUGUUUGAACGUAACGGUCUCUUUGACCAUGCAAAUCUUUUAAAUGCAUAUUCUGAGAAAUACUAACGAGUUGCAUUCAUCUAAAUGAUCGAACAUAAUCUAAUUGUAUUAUUGGAAUAACCAUGCUUUACAUUUCUCGUCUUAUAAAGUCAAUAAUUAUACUUUAGCGACAUUUGAGGUUGACAAUCUGACGGUCAUAAUUGGAAGUUCAAAGUAUUUCGACGUCUGAAGGAACAAUCUAUCAAAACACAUCAACUUAUAAUUUCACUGUCACUUCACAUACUAAUGACCACUCUGUUUGGUUCCAUUUUUAAACGAUAAAUUGAGAGCCUCUUAUGUCAAAAGAAUGUCAUUUAUUUUCUUAGUUGAUGUUCUUUAGAAUUAAGAUUAAAUUAUGUGGUAAGAACGUAAAUGUCACUGUUCAUUUGCCUGAAAGUUUUUGAAAUAAAACAGUGCAUCGGAAAUGUCCAUAAAAGGAGUUAUUUCGAUUUCAAAAGCGCAUUAGACGACACUGUGGUCUUGGAUCAGAUUUCUUUCGAUGUAACAAUUACUUAACUAUUUUCGCUUGUAUAAUUUUAUUAUCGAAUACGUUUUCACAUAAUUCUAAGUCGUCAUUAAACCUUUUAUUAUUUUAUAACAAUGCCUUGUUACAGUGUACCAUUUACCGAUUAUUCUGUCCCCGCCAAUCACCAUACACGGAACAAUAUUACCCUAUCACUAGUAAGGUAAGUUUGUCUGCAAACAUAGCCUUUUUCAAAAUUUCCUGUGGCAGUCUCUACUAUUACCACUUACCAUUUCUAUCUUAUUUUGUACGAUUUACUUAUUUGAUGAAAUUAUUUGAUUCCCUCUGAACAUAGUUCAAAUUUAAAUGUUUGGCACUUAAAGUUAAGCAAACAACAGUAAUACAUUCGGUAUCGCCUUGAGUAAUACUAACUGUUGAUUUGCAUACUGAUCUUUAAAUGUUAGCUUUUAUUUAUUAAAACAAGUAUUCAUGAAAAGUAUGUGAUUCAGAUAUGGAUUAAAUAUGACAACUGGAAAGUUGAAAUCAUCAAGUUUGUUUCUAGUUUGAAUUUAUCCAUUUAUUUUAAUUCUAAAGGAAAGAUUAAGAUAAGAGGCAGACAUUCUAGUUUUGAUAAUAUGAUAAAUCACAUCUAUACUGUGAUAUAUGGGAUGCAAGCAAACACUGAAAUAUGGGUUAUUGAGAAACAGGCCAUCAUCAAUGUAUCUAAAGGUAAAAUAAAGUACUUUACAAGGCUUUUUCGGUUUUGCAUUUCAAACGGUAUUGUUUGAACUUUGCUUCAAAGAGGUACGAAAACAUAUGGUUCGAAAUCAGAACCCAUUGCGAUACUGACUGUUUGCUGAAAUAUCAAUCCAACAGACCAUGCCGUUGUUAUAAAAGUGCAGCAUUUCGAAAAUAUCAUCUGUGGUGUAUUUGUUUACUGGAGUUUUAUUUUAAAUGAUGUUUUUAACUCUGUACAACUUCAAAACAUUUUGUAUGACCUAAAAUAAGAUCUUUGUAUCUUCGAUUCACUUUUUGUAAAAUAAAUCUCUGUUUAAGGAGACGAUCUCAUAAAUUGAACUUUUAAUAUUCCUGCUAAAUUCUGAAGAAUCCUUUUUUAGAUUAUGCAGUAGAUUAUUGAAAGUUUUAGGAAUCUACAUCAGAAUAAUUACAUUUCAUUUAUGUUUCAGACCAAUUAUUUUGAUUAGAUAACAACGCUUAAGAAAUGUUCCAUAUAUGGUUUCAAUUACAUUCUGUUUAUAUAUAUAUAUAUAUUUGAAUACCAUAACUUGUUAUGUUUUCUUAGAUAUUUACAGUGCGGCAAUUUUGUAAAUGCUGUGUCAUUUGGGGAACCGCAUAGGGACAAAAAUUUCUUUAGAUUUCUUUGCACUUGUGUUUUUGCAUUUGACCGUGAAUUUUGAAAAUACUUUGUCUGUGUUAACUUGCAUUGUGAGUUCUAAAUGAACUUUUUAAAGUUAAAGGUGUGAUCUUUAUAUACCAUUUCAACCUACCAUAUUUUCAAGCCAGAAAGUGGAAGACAUAUGUCAUAUGAUAAUCUGUUUUUUUCUUUUUGUAGAAGUGUAUGAUAAAAUCAGAUAUUUUUAGUUUUGUUUAAUGUAUUCCAAACAAUUAGAAUCCGGACAAUUUAUCUGUAGGUUUAUAUAAAUGCACCUGCUGCUCACUAAAUAUAUUUUAGUCACUCUGUCUCAUUGACGUAUACACCUUAUCACUAUUCCUGGCUAAUCCGAGAAUCUGUCCCACUUGAACUAUUGACGUCAUAAAACAAUUACGUUUCAAUUGUGGCGUCAGCUAUUUUGUAUUAUGAUGUCAAAAUUUUACGGGAACCUGUGUGAUGCCCAGUAAUGUCGGACAGAUAGCGAUUAGGUGUAUACUCCACGUCUCUUUUCAUUUAUAUUCAACACAAGACAUGUUUUAUACAGUUUGUCAAACUCUAAACCCCCGUGAGACUACAAAACACCGUAGAUAAACUACAAAACACUGUAGAUAAACUACAUAACACUGUAGAUAAACUACAAAACACUGUAGAUAAAUAAUAAAAUAAAUCACCGUGAGACUACAAAACACUGUAGAUAAAUAAUAAAAUAAAUCACCGUGAGACUACAAAACACUGUAGAUAAAUAAUAAAAUAAAUCAUCGUGAGACUACAAAAAACUGUAGAUAAAUAAUAAAAUAAAUCACCGUGAGACUACAAAACACUGUAGAUAAAUAAUAAAAUAAAUCACGUGAGACUACAAAACACUGUAGAUACAUAAUAAAAUAAAUCAUCGUGAGACUACAAAACACUGUAGAUAAACUAAAAAACACUGUAGAUAAAUAAAAAAAAAGACUUACAAAAACCUGCCAAUAACACAUACGUUCACCGUGAGACUACAAAACACUGUAGAUAAAUAAUAAUAAAAAAAGACUUACAAAAACCUGUCAAUAACACAUACGUUCCCAAAUAAAAAAAAACAUUACUAAAUAAACUUAUCAUAGAUACCAGGAUAAAAUUAUGUAUUUACGCCAGACACGCGUUUCGUCUACAAAAAAUCAGUGACGCUCGAAUAAAAAAAAGUUAUUUAGGCCAAAUUAAGUACAAAGUUGAAGAGCAUGGAUGACCAAAAUCCCUAAAAGUUUUGCCAAUGCUCCCCUACAAAAAACACGGACAAGCAAUCAGAAAAAAGAAAAAAAACAGAACGAAAAAAUACCGUUAUUGCUGUUCGAGAUGAAGACUUAGAAUAAGCACAUUUGAACUACAUUCUGCAAAAUCAAUCAGUCAUUUGAUUAGCUAAAAGUAUAUUAAGUGCUUACAAGAACAAAAACAAAAACAAUAUUGAAAACCAUUAACUCUAUAACAUCGGUAAAAGGAAAUACAAAACUGCACUAGUACAAACAAAAAGAUAAUAAUCAAAAUUAUAUAGAAGAAAGAAUUAAGAAAUUAAUCUGCUUAAACAUUCCAGUAUCAGAGGCUGCCUUUAUUCAUUUUAAAAUCGAAAAGGAAGCCAAUUUCUUUUUUUUAAUUAAGUUGUCUGGUAAAAAUUUAAAGUAAAUCUCCUUACGAAAUAUGAUGUAGGUAAACAACAGAGUGUUCUCAAAGAAAAUUUUCCAUGAUUACACAAGUAGGCCGUUCAUUGAAUUAGAAUCAUAAGUAACGCCAAUUUAUUCAAUAUGCUCAUUUAAACAUAACACAUGCAUUUUAAUUGUAACAAAUCUCAGAUGUCUUUACCGAAAUAAUGAAGUUGUAAGUCCAAUUCAAAUUAUUCAUUUGAAAUAAUGAAAUUUAAAAACAUGUGGGUUAGGGUUGAUUUACAAGUAUUGUAAAAAGCUGAUCAUUCCGAAACGUACAAAAGCUUCUUUAUUUUCGCUUCCGUUUACUGUUCCGAAGCAAAUGUUCAAUUACCCAGAAUUCCAUAGAGAAGAUUUAUCACUCAUUGAAAGCAACGUGGUGUAAAAUCAUAUCAUGGAAAGACUUUUAAAUUCUAUUAAGCAACAACUAAACGUUUUUAAAGAUUAGAUCAAAUCAAAUGCCAAAUUGAAUAUUUCUUGGCAGGAAACUCUACGACGUGAGGAAUAAAUAUAAAAUCGAUUCAGUCAUUGCUUUAUCCUGGAAAAACUAUAGUUGUACAAACAGGACGCAACAAGUAACACAAUUAAAACAUGCAAAAGCCAUACAUCUCUUAAGUAAAGCACAUAGUCCUUAGCUAUCGCACGUACAUUAGGGAAAAGCAGGAAAAUUAUUAGUCUAUAGUAUGUAACUAGGCGGAAGUGGAAAAAUUCAAAUCUAUUACAGACGUAAUUAAUCGGAAAUUUAUUUAGGCAUACUGUUUCAUUGUGUCAUUUAUAUCUGAUCAAAUUUGAUAUUGUAUAUAAACUCAUUUAUGGUGCGGUUAACAAUAACGAUAGUUUUCAGUUAGAUGUAGGUUUUUGUUGCAAUAGUUACAACUUGGAAUUGUAGAUUUACAACUUUUAGUUUUAGAUAUUCAACGAAAAACUGUUGAUUUAAAAAAAAUGUAAUAGUAGUAUCAUUACUUCAAUUCUUUUCCGUCGUGUUGGUAUCAAUAGAUUUUAUAAUAUUAUUUCAUUACAGGAGUACAUGAUAUCAAAAUACUUUGGAAAAGGGGUCAUAUAAAAAAAGAGAUGUGGUAUGAUUGCCAAUGAGACAACUGUCCACAAGAGACAAAAAUGACAUAUUCAUCACAAGGUGCAUCAAAAGAGUUUUCAAAGUCAAUAUGCGAAAUACUUUAAAGGAAAAGAAACGUUAUGAUGCAUUUACUCGUGAUACUGAAUCAAUACAACCACUUUACAAAACCAAAAUUGCUGUUCUUUAUCUAAAAACCUUAAUAAGGCCUUCACUAUAAAUCAAAAGAAAACAUAUCAUCGGAAGUUCAAAACGACUCUCAGCUCCGGUUUCAACGCAAUUCCUUGCCCGCUACGGUUGCCCAGUAGUUUUUAUCGUUUUACAGAUACGCAGUUGUCCCUUAACAACCCCAAUAGCCUUUGCUUAGAAUCGUCUAUAGCAAUGACAAUGGCAGUCUUUUAGUUUUUUUUUAUAACGAAAUGAUCUGAACGUUCUUAAUUUAUUUAUGUGUGGACACUCAAAUAGCAGUUGAUCAUAUUGUCAACAUGUUUCUAUCUGAUUACUUAAAAAAAAAACCUUGGCAUUUACAAUGCAUGAUUUGAUAGAAAUACAAUAUCCUCCAAAACGAAAAUAGAAGAAGAUUGUUCAUGAAUUUAUCAUAUUACAAAAUUUGUACAAUACACUUGACAUGUUUUACCGAAAUAGGAGCCUUCUAAGUUGCAGAUCUAUAUAAAAAGGGUGAUAACAGAAAUUUGAUAAAGGAGAUACAAAGAUGUAUAGGUUUGACAAAGGAUUCUCAAAACAAGGACAUGUAAAAUUGCAGUUCAUACUGAUAGAUUUUAAUUAUCAUUUUUGUCUGUAAUUAUUCAUAGAGUUCGUAAUAAACUUAUUUUCUUAUUCUUAACACUUUUAUUCUGUACUUGUUUGUAGUGUACAUAGACUAUCAAGUAAAGAAUGAACUCGUUUAUAUCUAUUGUAUGAAUAUUUCGAUACUAUUGAAACCUGCUUAUAAAAUUUAGGGAUCACAUAAUUGAGAGGCGAAUUUUCCACCGUAAAUGAUAGUUUGCGUGAGCAACGUACCCAUGUGAAUAAGAAUAUGUAGAUCUUUCAUUGUUGAAUUGGUAAAUUUUUCAAUAGUAAGAUUUUGUUAUUCCCAUUUGUACAUUUACUAUUUUUAUUCCAAACAUUCAUAAAAAUGAAUAUAUCAUCCAAAUUAUUUACAUGACUGAGCUGCGUCGUAUAGAAAUCGACCUUAUGCAAGUGCACUUCUACAUGUACACGUAGAAGACUUUAAAGUGCACGUCUACAUGCACGUAGAAGACUUUAGAUUGUUGUUAAAGUGCAGUACACACGUAGAAGACUUUAAAGUGCACGUCUACAUGUACACGUAGAAGACUUUAAAGUGCACUUCUACAUGUACACAUAGAAGACUUUGGUUGAUUUUGGAAUAUUCAAAUACGAAACCGAGGUUGAAUUUGUAUCUGAUUUGUAGGGUUCUUAUAACAACACAGUUUAUAAUAGUUACAGACGUUUCGUAGAGAUUUGUUCAACUCGAAUUAGAUGGACAGAAAAUUGAUAGUCAUUUGCUUAACGUUUUAAAAUGGAUUAAAAUUUGAAAAAAAAAUGCUAUUAAUAGUUAAAAAAAAAAUAAAUAAAAAGAGUAACGGGUUAUUUUGUGGUCUUGUUGAUUUCAUCUUUUUAGUAUAAAAGUGAACAGAUUACAAUAUUUUUCAAAUCGUUUAUAUUUAUUGACCCGAUACUACAAGUGGUUAGACGUUACAAUCAUUGAUCAACUUUAAAAUUAUCUUCAUAUGGAAUAAAACCAAAAAAUAACAACCGAGCGUCCCUAAUAAAUAAAUAACAUAUCCGGGGAAAAAAACAUCACAAGUGUAGUGCAAGUAGUAAGAAAAUGAAAUGUCAUAUUCAAAUAUAACUGAUCAUGUUUUGUUUGGUAAUUUAAUUAGAAUUAAUUAUAUUUAAUAAAAUGAUGUUAUAUAACAUAAUCGAAAAAAUUAUCAACCACAAUGAACCGACAGUCAUUGAUAUCUAAGAUAUAUUGCUUUUUGAUAUUCGAUUGAAUCUUGAUCCCUUAUCAGUCCCAGGAACAGACAUUUGAUUGCUUAAUAUAUAGAUUGCUCUAUUGUUUCUGUCCCAGAAGAACGUAGAUUGAAGGUCAUCGGAACGUAAUGGAAGUUAUACAAUCUGAUUCAAAAUAUAGAUUAAUUGAGUUUACAAAUAUUGGAUGAAGUGAAGUCCAGUGUUACACUUUUACGUGAUAUUACAAGGAAUUUAUAAUUUCAGUGAUAAAAAAUAAUUUAUCUUAUUCAGUCUGUGAAAUGUGGCUCCGUCAAUGAUUUACAAUGUCACACUUGGUGCUAACAACUUAUUGACAUAUCUACUUGUCUAUAAGAUGCUUUUAUAUGACAUGAUAGACAUCGACGGAUUAAUGGGUGGUUUUAGUAGUUUAUCUUAUGUUUCGAUUGCCUAUCAACAUUGAAGUUUGAAAUCGAACCCCGCACGUGACAGGUGGGUUGUACUCCGAUCAAUUAAACUAGGAUUGCCAGUCUUCUUGGCGAUGAUUUAUGGUUUAUAUCGGACAUCUAUUCUCGUUGCUGGCUGACUGCGAUUGCUCUUGAAAACUUAUUCGGCAAUCACGCGGUGUCUAUUGAGUAAAUGAAAUAUGUAAUGACUUAAGAUUGUAUAGGGUGAAAUUUUUUCCAACAAAUUGUUACAUGUAAUGACAAUGCGCAACUAUCAAUUAAUCUAAACUAAAUUUUAACAACAAACAGUAGAAUAAUGACAAGCAAUAUUACCAAGAAGGGACAUAAAAGAAUUAUCAAAAACAGUUAGUGUCAUCUUUUUCAGGGGCCAAUUUGGAUGAUUUUUGCCAUUUGUUGUUUUUUGUCGCCGCCUUACUUCUUGUGUAGUUAGAAUAUUGCUAUGGAAACACAUCGGAGUACAGCACAUUUGUAGUACCCUAUUUUCAAUAUGUUUACAGUUAGUAAAAAUCUGUUAUUCAGUCUGCUUUAUGCAUGCUUGCUUCACAUGUUUAUCAGAAUACAACUAUCCGUUUGACUAUGAAAAUAGCUCAUAUGGCAUUAUAUUUGUAUAUUGGAGCUGUUUUUCUUGCAAAUAAUUAUCUCCAGUUCCUAAUUAUGUCGUUCGUUAAUAUCAAGCUGCGCUGCUUUUGUUCCGAAUCACAUCUGAAAUCAUUUUGAAAAUGAAUUUCAUGCGUAUUUAUUGCAUUAAACACCAGUUUAUUGGAUGCAGCACACUACUUAGUUAACACUUAUCCUUUGUUUGUUUUUUCUAGGAUUUAUUCAUGUCCUGGAUAUAAAAACAUAGCUUUAUUGUUUAUAGGAGUGAUCAAUAAGUAAAGAAUUCGUUUAGGGAUGUAAAACAUGCAGAGAGGUUAACGUAAUUGUUGUUUUUGCAAUUAUUUUGUAAAAGUUGAUGGAUUGUUGGUGCUUAACUUCAAGUGACAAAUUUAAAAUCCAUAUUUAGAAUAGAAAACGUCAUGUGGUUACAAAAGGGUUAAUCGAAUAAUUUUGAACCUCUUUAAACUAGCCAUUUAUAUUUGAUUUCAAACUUUUAUUUACAGCAUGCCACAAACGCAAGUCAUUAGAACUGUAACGCGGAUUAUUUCACAUUCAUGAACAAAGAGCGCCCCAGCAGCUUCAAAAUAUCCAGCAAGGAUCAUAUUCCUCAGAGGACAUCCAGGU